UACGGGGGGAGCAAGCGUUGUUCGGAAUUACUGGGCGUAAAGCGCGCGUAGGCGGCUUUGCAAGUCGGGUGUGAAAUCCCCAAGCUUAACUUGUGAACUGCAUUCGAGACUGCAUUGCUAGAGUAUGGGAGAGGGAAGUGGAAUUUCCGGUGUAGCGGUGAAAUGCGUAGAUAUCUGGAGGAACACCGGUGGCGAAGGCGGCAUCCUGGACCGGUAUUGACGCUGAUGCGCGAAAGCCAGGGGAGCAAACGGG
RNAcentral lists this ribosomal RNA (253 nucleotides) under uncultured bacterium. RNAcentral describes it as "partial 16S ribosomal RNA". It matches the Rfam family "Bacterial small subunit ribosomal RNA", at positions 524 to 776 of the family's 1533-position model. The record is from RNAcentral.